CAGUAUUUGAGCGACAAAGAUUCGACGAGCGUUAGUUAGAUCAGUGAUCCCCUAACAGUGUUCUGGGGUACAUUUGUGUGCUGCUAUUCCGGUUGGAAAUAACUGAGUUAGAAAGAGAGAAGCAAGAAGAAUAACUCCGUUUGGUCAGAAGGUAAAUGAGUUCUUACGGCAUCUAUGACAUCUAUGGCAUCUUGGCAUAUGUGGCAUGUUGGCAUAUAAGGUUGUUGACGUGCUCAUAAAGGCCUGUGGAAAAAGAGCGACUUGUCCGGAGUGACUGAACAGGAGUUUCAGGAAUGAUACGGCACCAAUUUGGAGAAAGAGGGAGGAUACCGAGGCAUGCGAGAGGCCCGGGUCAGAGAGGAUGGCCAUAGUGGUCUGUAGGGUUCGAUUUUCAGGGCCAUUUCUAAACCACAUACGGUAUGUGUAUUAUUCAAGUGGGCAUUUUAAAUUUCAAUAAAAUGUGCCUUGUCUGUUCAAAAAAAGUAUCAGUUGGUACAUCAAUAAUCAUCCACAGGAUCUGCUCCAAAAUUCUCUCUUCCAAAAAGUUGUGACAUUGUGUAAAAUGUAAAUUAAAAAAUACAAUACUUUUUUUCCCUAUAAUUUCCUUUUUGACAUGUAUUCAUUGGGUUUGGGUUAGGGGUACUCCAAUAAAUCUUUGUCAGUUAACAGAAUGUGUUGCUACAUCUACAAAUACAUGUUAAAACCCCUCCAUGGAAAGUGAAAGCCAUAUCUCGAGAACACCCUGAAAUUCUGCAUGAUUCCCUGGGCACAAAUUCAUCUGAGAUGGACUGACACAAAAACAUAAAUGUGCUGUGGUCUCCCAAGUCCACAUUUAUUUUUUUGGGGGGAAAUCAUGGUUGUCAUUUUCUCUGGGCCAAAGGGAAAAAAACACAAUUCGAAUUAUCAGGACAAAGUUCCAAAGUGAGCAUAUGUGAUCAUACCGUAUUGGGUGUGUUCCAAUGGCACGGAGAACUGUGAAGGCACCACUUAUGCUGAAAGGUACAUAGAUUUUUUUGGAGCUAGAUAAGCUGCCAACCAAGCAAUGCCUUUUUUUCGGGAUGUCACUGCUUGUUUCAUCAAGAAAUUGUCAUGCCAACCUUUGUUUCAACGGUGUGGCUUAGUACUAAAAAAGUGUGAGUAAUGGGGUGGCCUCUCAGCGGUGCAGACCUGUCUACCAUUUGUAAAUGUGCGUGUUAUGAAGUGAAAAAUAUAACAGUGGAUGCACUGUAUUGGUGAGCAAAAGAAGUUGUACAUUAAGCAAGCAUGGGAAAGAAUCCGACAACAAAGCAUCAUCAAUUACUGUCCUAAGUUUAGUGAUUGUCCUGGACCAAAGGGAGUCAAACUCAAUCGGAGUGGAGCCCCAUGCAAGAUAUCACCUCGUGGGGUCUCAAUGAUCCUUAGAAAGGUGAGGAAUCAGCCUAGGACUACGUGACAGGACUGAGUCAAUGACCUGAAAAGAGCUGGGACCACCGUUUCCAAGGUGACUGUUGGUAAUACACUCGGAUGUCAUGGUUUGAAAUCAUGCAUGGCACGGAACUUUCCCUUGCUUAAACCAGCACAUGUCAAGGCCUGUAUUAAGUUUGCCAAUGACCAUUUGGAUGAUACAGAGGAGUCAUGGGAGAACGUUUUGUGGUCAGAUGAGACCAAAAUUGAACUUUUUGGUCAUAAUUCCACGAACUGUGUUUGGAGAAAGGCGAAUGAUGAGUUCCAUCCCAAGAACACCAUCCCUACUGUGAAGCAUGGGGGUAGUAGCAUCAUGCUUUGGGGGUGUUUUUCUGCACAUGGGACAGGAGGACUGCACUGUAUUAAGGAGAUAACCGCGGCGACAUAUCGUGAGAUUUUGGGGAACAACCUCUUUCCCUCAGUCAGAGCAUUGAAGAUGGGUUGUGGCUGGGUCUUUCAACAUGACAUUGACCUGAAGCACACAGGAAAACCAAGGAGUGGCUCCGAAAUAAGCAUAGCAAGGUUUUGGCGUGGCCUAGACAGUCUCAAGACUUAAACCCAAUAGAAAAUCUUUGGAGGGAGCUGAAACUCCGCGUUUCUCGGCGACAGCCCAGAAACCUGUCUGAUCUAGAGAUCUCUGUGGAGGAGUGGACUAAAAUCCCUCCUGCAGUGUGUGCAAACCUGGUGAACAACUACAGGAAACAUUUGACCUCUGUAAGUGCAAACAAAGGCUACCGUACAAAAAAUUAACAUUGGUUUUCUCAGUUGUUCAAACACUUAUUUGUAGCUGUAUCACACACAUAAAUCGUUAAAAAAAAAU
Long non-coding RNA from Syngnathoides biaculeatus (alligator pipefish), 2263 nucleotides. RefSeq lists it as uncharacterized. NCBI's taxonomy places the organism in Eukaryota, Metazoa, Chordata, Actinopteri, Syngnathiformes, Syngnathidae. The record is from RefSeq and is a predicted model, not a curated record. The transcript is spliced from 4 exons.